Panicum virgatum (switchgrass) is the source of this 2545-nucleotide long non-coding RNA. RefSeq lists it as uncharacterized. The record is from RefSeq and is a predicted model, not a curated record. Lineage: Eukaryota; Viridiplantae; Streptophyta; Magnoliopsida; Poales; Poaceae. The transcript is spliced from 5 exons.
AUGUAUACUCGUGGCAAAAAUGAAAACUUUCCUGAAAAGGAAAAAAUCCGUUGGCAUUCCAAAUAUCUACGAAAUUGCCACCAAAGACCAUAUAAAGCCUGUUGAAAACUUCCGAGGGUUUUACUCCUUGAACUCCUGGCCGCCGUCAGACUCAGAUUCAGGCAUUUUUUCUCUUUUCAAUCAGAUUCCAAAAGCCCCUCUCGUAGCCCCCAAGCCAAAACUCGUGACUUUGAGAUGACUCCCAAAAAAAACAAAUCCAAGGUUGAAGAAGAAACUGUCACCAAUAUGUCUAUGGGCUGGCGUAAAAGCAAAAUGUCUGAAUCAUUGGUCCAGGAAUUGGAAAAUAUGGGUCUCCUCCAAGAGCAGGGCAUGAGCCAAUGGCGCGCUGGUGAAGGAGAAGAUUACCCUAUGGAAGAUAUCCUUGAAACCAUUAUGUUCCGUGAUUUUGUGGAACGUGGUCUCACUCUUCCCGUCUCAGAGUUUUUCUAUAGACUGCUUCAGUUUUGGGGAAUCUAAUUACAUAAUCUCACUCCCCAAUGCAUCUUGCAUCUUCCCAUGUUUACUCAUUUCUGUGAAGCAUUCCUUGGGAUUCUUCCCCAUUUCCACCUUUUUCAAUAUUUCUUAUUCCUUGUUCCAGUCCCUAAUGCCACCAAUCCUGCCGUCAUUGGGGGAUGUGAAUUGGUACUCCAUCCUGAGACCCGAGGCGAGUACCUAGCUUAUGAUCCAGCGGGUAAAGGAGCCGAAUGGAAGAAGUUCUGGUUCCAUGUUGGGAACUUUGAAUCUCCACUUCCAGAAAGGAUUGCUGGCGCCCCCAAGUCCAAGAAAACUGAUCGAGUAAAGGUCCUGGUGGCAAGCAAGUUGAAAUCAUUCUUCGUGUGAUUGCCAUUAUCAAAAAUAAAGGAAUCACUGGGAAUCAUGUGGUCUUCUCAUUUGUCAGUCGCCGGUUGCAACCUCUCUAGCUCCGAAAGCAUCCUCCCUUUAGAUAUGAAGGCAGACAGGAUCCCACCAGGAUGCCUCCAGAACCAAUGGCGGAAUCUGAAGUAGUCAAGAGGUGCUGCAAAGUACUCGACAACUUUGACAAGUCCUUGAUGCUUCCAACGCUCUUCUGGGCAUAAAAUCCUCCCGAGAAUACAUGGAAAAAUUAUAAGUCUUGGUAUUGUAUGCCUCCGACUUCUGUAGAUGCUGACUCUGGUGACAACAAGAAACAGAAGGUGACUCCCGGAUAUUUGUUGCAGAGAAAAGUUCCUUGUCUUGAUGCCGGCCAGAUCCAAUAUCUUCCGGCGCAUGAGAAAGAUCAAUUUCAAGACUUCCUCAACUGGAUGUCGAGUGGUUCUGAAGAAACUAGUCGGUCAGGCCCCGAGUCACCUGUAAUCGGGUUGAUCGAGACCCCAGCUGUCAGUUUGCCAAAUAUAGACACAGCUGAAAAAUCAAGCAAACCAAGCGCGCCAGCACCUGAACAUACUCCUGCGGCUGCUGAAGGAACCUCGAAUGCUGGUGGGUCUGGAAGUAGUGGGGCUGAGGGGUCGAAAGGUCCUGCCGUUCGACUAAUGCCUUUCCAGGCUAUGCCUCAGUCAACCCAAGAGGUGUUGGGGAAAGAAUUGUUUGAUGAUCCACUGUUGUCUCUAGACAACAUGAAGAAACUAGUAGACUGUAUGCAGUGGAGCUUUAAAUUUACCAAGGAUGUAGCCAAUCACUCUUUCCUAAAGUCUCAUGCUCUGUAUAAGACUGUAGACAAUCGAAAAACCUUGGAGGAGCAAAAAGCCAUGAUUGCCAAACGACUGGAUGAAUCCCUUGCUGCUCGGAAUAAGCUUUAUAAACCAAAUCGUCAGCAUCAUCUGGAGAUUUGUGAUAUGAGGUGCUAAAUCAAGAAUCUUGAAGAAGAAAGAUCAAUGCUUCAGGAAGAAAAUUCCAGGCUUCAAAAGCAAUUGCAUACUGCCCAAGCCUGUUCUCCAGAAGACCAUACUCGACUAGUAGCGGCAGCUCAAGCUCUUGUGGAUGUGGUUGAUUCUGAAGAGGAGUCAUCGAAUAUCAAGUCCUUGGUGGAGCAUUUAUAGGAAGCUCCCCAAAAGAUUUUUGAUGUCAUGACAGCUACCUACAAGAAUUACCUGACCCAUAUGAUAGGAGUUGCCAAAUCUUACUUUUCUCACUUCAACUUAGCUCCCAUAGCUAAGGGAAUAUCUCCCACUUGUUCCGAUGAAAAAUUCCGGGACUAUUGUAAGGAAUCAGAAGUGAUUGCUGAGGAAAUUCUGAAGAACAUGGCAGAGUAGACUGCUUGUAACAACUCUUGUAAUCUUCAUUGGGUUCUUGUCAUUGUUCAUAAUUUGUAUCCUGUUGGUGUGUCUUCGGAAGCAUGAUCUGGUACCGUAGGAUAAGUAUGAACUAAUUGAUCAAGCAAGUAGAAUACUCGAAUGGAGUAAUCCUUAAAGUUAAUCAUUUAGGGUGAGUCCCGUCGGACUACCCAAGUAGAGAAACUUGUAAAGGUAUCCAUAAGCUACUCGAGCAAGCAAGUAGUGUGUCCCAACCAAGGACUGGAGUAAUCCGUAAG